This is a long non-coding RNA of Clupea harengus (Atlantic herring), 1028 nucleotides long. The record is from Ensembl. Lineage: Eukaryota; Metazoa; Chordata; Actinopteri; Clupeiformes; Clupeidae.
GGCUGGAAUAGGGUGUGUGUGUGUGUGUGUGACACCUACAUCUCCAGUGUGAAGUUCACAGACAUUAAUACAGUAACUGCCCACUCCCCUCAUCUAAAGACAUCUAAUUACAAGAAUACACAGGUGUGAGACUGCAGCUUUAUUCACAGCGCGGUGUAAAGUUACAAACAACACAAGGUUCACAUAGCACAUGCCUGCCUAAAAGAUGUCUCCUUAGUCCUGAUUAUAUAUCCCUCGUGUUACUCUUUAGAAGCAAAAGUUAAGUGACAUUCAUAGGAACACAGGUACAGAAAAAGAAGAGCAUUUCAAUGGGAAAAGAAAACGUAUCUCAACUAAGCACAUUAAAACUCAAAAUUAUCCCACAACUUCCUCAUGAAAGUACGUACAGUAUAAUAGAAACAGUCACAGCCAAACAAAAAAAGGGAUUAAUGUAAGAUAAUAAAAAAAAAUAAUUGAGGUUUCAGGCAUCCUGUAGCUCCAGUGCAGUUGAUGGAGGCUACAAGGACUGGCUGGUUGAAGCAGAGUGAACACUAUGAGCCUUAGGGAAAAGAAAGAGAACACCACAUUUAUGGGUUUCCAUUAACACCAAACUGACUCUGAAAUGCUCAUGUGUGUUUUACUCACAGAGGUGUUUGGUUUGCCCUGGGGAUCACCUGAGAGGCAGAGACAUGGACAUGAAUCAGUCAGAGAUACAGUAAAGCAGAGAGUGUGUAGAUCAGUGUGUAUCUCCAGUGGCUGAGACAGAUUGAGUUUACAUGUAAUCAAUCAGAGUAAGAUAAACAUCAGUAGAGUAAAACGUGUGUAGAUCAGUGUGUACUCUGGAGAUCACCUGAGGGAGAAGAGUGUGUGUGUGUGAGAGAGAGAGAGAGAGAGAAAGAGUGAUAAAGAGAGAAAAUAAAGAAACAGAGAGGGCGGAAAAACACCCACCAGGAACUUCUGUGCAAAGGCCACAGCAGUUUGAGGAAGUAGCUUUAAGACUGCAAAGGCCUCUACUGUGGCUUAUCAGGUAAUUCCAGAUCAGUUUUUUU